GGGGAGAUAACUAGUAAAUGUGUGGGGUGCCCGUGGAACCUCAGGCAGGCAGAGGUUCUCAUACUUUUUUGUGCUUUAGGAAUGUCAGUAUGAAGCAUUUAAGAUUUCUAGAUUUCAUCCUUUUAUCCCUCUCCAUUCCAUAAAGAUGAGGAAUUAUGGACAACUAGCUAGAUGGCAAAAUAACGUUCUUUAUAGAGUAAAGUCUCGAGUUUUGAUUUUGGUGAUCACCGG
RNAcentral lists this long non-coding RNA (231 nucleotides) under Trifolium pratense (red clover). RNAcentral's name for it is "long non-coding RNA (TPRA_LNC013664)". Lineage: Eukaryota; Viridiplantae; Streptophyta; Magnoliopsida; Fabales; Fabaceae. The record is from RNAcentral.